Tupaia belangeri chinensis (Chinese tree shrew) is the source of this 373-nucleotide long non-coding RNA. RefSeq lists it as uncharacterized. The record is from RefSeq and is a predicted model, not a curated record. Lineage: Eukaryota; Metazoa; Chordata; Mammalia; Scandentia; Tupaiidae. The transcript is spliced from 2 exons.
CUCUUUCUCUCUGGGGAAUACACGUGCCCCAUGGCAAAACAUUAAAAAAAAAAAAAAAGGAAAAAGAAAACCAGUCUUUCACUCCGGGCAUUUUCUAACUGGGAAAUGCCCCCGACAUGUCCUUUCAAGUUACUCAGCUGUGUGUUUCACUUAGAGAUGCAUCAUAUUUUCAAAAUCCAGGCUCAUCCUCUUAAAUCACCAUUUAUCAUGCUAUAUGUUAGGUCAGAGGCAGAAAAACUUCCAAUGCUAGAUGAGGGGUACCAUAUUCUCACCCAAACACUGCCAUAAACCCCAGGUUUAAAUAUCUUCCUCUGCUAAAGCAGACAGUUCCACGCCUCACUGACAGGUUCAGACAAGAGCAUACAUACAUACG